GAUGAACGCUGGCGGCGUGCCUAAUACAUGCAAGUCGAGCGAACAGACGAGGAGCUUGCUCCUCUGACGUUAGCGGCGGACGGGUGAGUAACACGUGGAUAACCUACCUAUAAGACUGGGAUAACUUCGGGAAACCGGAGCUAAUACCGGAUAAUAUAUUGAACCGCAUGGUUCAAUCGUGAAAGCCGGUUUUGCUGUCACUUAUAGAUGCAUCCGGGCCGCAUUAACUAGUUGGUAAGGUAACGGCUUACCAAGGCAACGAUGCGUAGCCGACCUGAGAGGGUGAUCAGCCACACUGGAACUGAGACACGGUCCAGACUCCUACGGGAGGCAGCAGUAGGGAAUCUUCCGCAAUGGGCGAAAGCCUGACGGAGCAACGCCGCGUGAGUGAUGAAGGUCUUCGGAUCGUAAAACUCUGUUAUUAGGGAAGAACAAAUGUGUAAGUAACUAUGCACGUCUUGACGGUACCUAAUCAGAAAGCCACGGCUAACUACGUG
Molecule: ribosomal RNA, 497 nt
Filed under: uncultured bacterium
Lineage: Bacteria
Description: partial 16S ribosomal RNA
Rfam family: Bacterial small subunit ribosomal RNA
Source: RNAcentral